CUUGCAUUUCGAGAAUUGUGACAGGAUAACAACUGGCAAAGAGUGAAUCAAAUAGUUUUAGCUUGCUUUUCCAUGGACCACCAUUCUAAACACCAUGAUGAACAGCUGCCUCCUCUCAAGAAGCAGAUCAAGUUAAUGAAGAAGGAUGGUUCCAAAAAAGAAUCUCACCAAGGUUGAAGGAAGCACCAUCGAGAUGAUUUAUUAGCGAUUCAGCUGAAAAGGAUGCAGAGCAGCAAUCAUUCGCCAAGCUAAGCAUG
Anolis sagrei ordinatus is the source of this 257-nucleotide non-coding RNA. The record is from RefSeq and is a predicted model, not a curated record. NCBI's taxonomy places the organism in Eukaryota, Metazoa, Chordata, Lepidosauria, Squamata, Anolidae.